AAAUUGAAGAGUUUGAUCAUGGCUCAGAUUGAACGCUGGCGGCAGGCCUAACACAUGCAAGUCGAGCGGUAGCACAGAGAGCUUGCUC
This 88-nucleotide ribosomal RNA is filed under the name Klebsiella pneumoniae. Its description in RNAcentral is "partial 16S ribosomal RNA". It matches the Rfam family "Bacterial small subunit ribosomal RNA", at positions 1 to 85 of the family's 1533-position model. The record is from RNAcentral. RNAcentral also lists the same sequence under 6 other names. Lineage: Bacteria; Pseudomonadati; Pseudomonadota; Gammaproteobacteria; Enterobacterales; Enterobacteriaceae.